GCUAUUUUGGCAGAAAAGUGUAGUGAUUUUAGAAUUCAUUAAUAUAUAAUUUUAUAUUAUAUAGAUAGUA
This 70-nucleotide transfer RNA is filed under the name Plutella porrectella (Dame's rocket moth). RNAcentral describes it as "tRNA-Leu". Lineage: Eukaryota; Metazoa; Arthropoda; Insecta; Lepidoptera; Plutellidae. RNAcentral also lists the same sequence under 1 other name. The record is from RNAcentral.